GUGGGGAAUAUUGGACAAUGGGCGCAAGCCUGAUCCAGCCAUGCCGCGUGAGUGAUGAAGGCCUUAGGGUUGUAAAGCUCUUUCACCGGUGAAGAUAAUGACGGUAACCGGAGAAGAAGCCCCGGCUAACUUCGUGUCAGCAGCCGCGGUAAUACGAAGGGGGCUAGCGUUGUUCGGAAUUACUGGGCGUAAAGCGCACGUAGGCUGAUAUUUAAGUCAGGGGUGAAAUCCCGGGGCUCAACCCCGGAACUGCCUUUGAUACUGGGUAUCUUGAGUAUGGAAGAGGUCAGUGGAAUUGCGAGUGUAGAGGUGAAAUUCGUAGAUAUUCGCAGGAACACCAGUGGCGAAGGCGGCUGACUGGUCCAUUACUGACGCUGAGGUGCGAAAGCGUGGGGAGCAAACAGGAUUAGAAACCCGUGUAGUCC
RNAcentral lists this ribosomal RNA (425 nucleotides) under uncultured bacterium. RNAcentral describes it as "partial 16S ribosomal RNA". It matches the Rfam family "Bacterial small subunit ribosomal RNA", at positions 354 to 796 of the family's 1533-position model. The record is from RNAcentral.